Molecule: long non-coding RNA, 6664 nt
Filed under: Coffea arabica (coffee)
Lineage: Eukaryota; Viridiplantae; Streptophyta; Magnoliopsida; Gentianales; Rubiaceae
Description: long non-coding RNA (CARA_LNC003733)
Source: RNAcentral
AGAAAAGGCUGCUUUGUACGCGUAAAACUCAAUUUCACCUCCACCAACUCACAUGUGAUGCUAUACAUGUGAGAAACAUUCCCAGCUGUAAAAGGGAGAUGUAAUCCUCAUUUCUUGACCACCUUUCAUCAUUAAAGAGCCAAGAUUGCAAGAUUGAAGGGGAUCCAAGAAUAGAGAGCAAGACAUAGAAGAGACAUACGGGAGAAACUUGGUCUGCAACAAUGUAGUUCUUUCAUCUUCUUAGUAGUAGGUUAGUUUAGUUUAGCUAGUAGUUCAUCCUUUCUUGUUAUUAGCUAGAUUAAGAAGAAGAUGGAGGAUGAAGAAGGCAAGGAAGAAAGCUCAUGUGACAAGGGUUGUAUUCCUUCCAAAAUCUUUAUCUUUUGUACUUGAUUCUAAGUUUAGUUAAUAUACAAGUUCUGGAUUUUGUGUUAUUUAUGUGUCUCUAAGUCUAUGCCUUGGGUUUGGUUGAACUUCCUAUGAUUGUUAGUGUUUAUUAUUUGGUUAUUUGAUUGCUAUGAUUUGAGCAAGUUAUUUAGCACUUUGGCUUCUUAAAUCAUGAUUAAUCUGGUACCAUUAAUUAUGAUUAUCUAAGGUGUUGUUUCUGCAAUGAAAAUUGAGAUUUAACACUAGUUCAAGAGGUACUAAACAUAGGGAGUACACUCACGAAAGUAGAGGUGCACUUAUGUGAUUUUUAGUGAUUCAUUUCAUGUAAUUUCAUUGAAGAAAUGAACUUGUAGCUAAUUUCAUAACCAUGAAAAUAGGUAUGGAUUAGUUAUGAGUAUAGUUGAUUCACUACGAAAGUAGGUUUCACAUGUUUAAGGAAAUUACACUAUAACUAGCUUAGAUGUAGUACUCAAGGAUCCAAAAAUAGCACUUGCAUGAGUAGUUAGGGAUACCACAACCUAAGGAGCUUUUAUUUGUUAUUUUGUAUAAUUUGAGUAGGUAAAAUUUGUUAUAAUUCAUUGAUAGUCUAAAUAAUAGAGAAGCUUUAGUAGUACCGGUAAUUGCAAUCUUCCUUGUGGGAUCGACCCUUAAUACCCUAUACUCGCUCACGAUUCGUAUACUUGCGAUAAAUCGCGUGUGGGGUGUUUAGGAAUUUAUAAAUGUAAAACUUGAUUAGAAUGAGGUUAAAUUGAUAUGUAUACCCUGCGCACGUCAAGUUUUUGGCGCCGCUGCCGGGGAAGAUUUGGCAAUAUCGGUGUGAAGAGUAACUUUAUUAGUUUAGACAUAAUAUUAGUUAUAAUGUGAAUGUUAUUUUCUGUUAUUUUUGUGUUUUAUGUGUGUAUGUGUUUUAUCACCUAUUCUUCUUACUAAUUUUGCUCUUAAGUUGUUUAAAAGCAAUUUUAGGUAAUGAGAAGGGUAGGUCAAUUUGGAGGACAAUGCUUGAGAAGUGGAAGAUUGGCAAUGGAUGGUUAUCAAGUGCAAAGCUCCUUCAACAGAGGUAACCAAGAAUUUACUGAAUGUAUGUCUUUUGAAGAUGGUUUAAGGUGCUUAAAGGCUAAAUUUGAUGUUAUGAUGUUACAAGUUCAAAUGGACACAAUUAUGCAUAAAAUUGAGCAAGGGAGGAAUGUUAAUGCUUUUAAUUCUUAUCAUGUGAUUUGUGACUUGUGUGGAGGUUAUCAUGCUACUAAUACAUGUAUGCAAGCACAAAAUGUGGAUUAUUAUGAUGAAUUAGAGCAUUACAAUCCUUGUUUUGAUCAAUAUAGUGCUAAUUGGAGCAAUUCUCCUGCUUAUGGUUGGAAUAAUCAAUGUACUUAUAGUGAUAAUUCAUAUUUUUAUGAUCACCAACCUGAAAUUGUCCAAUAUGAAUCAAAACCAUCUUGGGAGUUGGCAAUAGAGAAGUUAGCUAAUGCACCUCUACCUUGGGAGUUAGAAAGUGAACCAUUAGCUAAUGAUUCUAAUGCAUCUUGGGAGCUAGCUGUAGAAAAUUUUUCUAAUCAAUUUGAUUUAGCAUUAGAAAAGCUAGCAAAUGCAACUUCAGAUCGUUUUGAUAGGAUUGAGGAAAGAAUAGAUGAAUUAGCUUCUCACUUUGGUAGAAUACAUGAGCAAUUGAAUGCAUUGUGUGAAGUUAUUUCCUCUAAUAAAUUGCAAAAUGAUCCUAGCAUGAAUGGUAGGAAUGUUGUAUGUGAAAAUGGAUUGCAUUUUGAUGAAAAUGAUGAAUCUCAAUUGUGUUUCAAUGAGCAAAUGUCCAUUUCACAUGAUAAUAUCUUUGGAACUAACUUUGAGCCUCAAGAGGUGAGUUUUAAUAACUCAUUUUUCACCCCUCUUGAGGAGUGUAUAAAAAGUACAGGUUUUAAAGAUAUUCCUGCCCAAGAUACUCUCAUGGCAUUCCCUUUGGUAAGUUCUCAAGUGGUGCAUAUUCAAGGUAAUAUCUAUGAACCACUUGGGAUAGGUAAGUCACUUCCAUUUCUCACAUCAUUAGAUCAUGUGGCUUUUGCUAUAAAGUCACCAUUUAAUGAUCCACCACGACCACAAAUGGUGGAUUAUUCGCUAACAAAGCCUCCUUGAAAAAAUGAGGAGAAAUAGUCAAGCUAUUGACUUUAAAGAAGCGCUUAUUGGGAGGCAACCCAAUGUUUGUUUAAAUUCAUUUUACUUUGGAGUGAUUUUAUGUUUAAAGUAUAAGUUUGAGUAAUUUUGUUGUUUUUCAUUUGUAGGUUUUGGAAAAGUGACCAAAUGAGGUGAAAAAGGCGAAGUUUGAUCAAAGAUCUCAAUACCUCAAAUUCAGUAAUUAUGAUUUUUGAUGCAUUAAAGAGGUUUAGAAUGCAUGUUUAGAUCAUUUUACAUGUGCGUGAAUGGUUUAUUUUGACAUAGAAAUGAUCUAGGGUGUAUUUUGAAGAAUUGAGGUCAAACUGAAAAUUGCAAAAAUUCUGCAAUAAGUGUAGAUUCAAUGGAUCCAAGGCCUCGGAUCCACUUCUGCAAUCAGAAAAAAUUCGAGCUUCUUGAUCCGAGCUCACUUAUCAUGAUCCGACCUCGGAUCCUUUCAAAAACGACCUCGGAUCCUGUUAAAAACGAAGGCUUGGAUCACUUUUCAACUCCACUUUUCUUCAUGUUGGCUUGUUUUUAGUAAGUUUUAGUUGUUCGAUUAAUGUUUUUGUUAAAUUUGGAUUUCAGGCCGGAUUUUCGACGAAUCCCUCCAAUUUCUGGCCGGAUUGUGAACAGUAACCAGCGUAAGAUGAAUCCAUUUCACGGAUUCCUCACAAUUUUUCUUCCUUCUUCUUCAACCCAACUCACACACUAACACCUCAAACACACACUACUCACUAAACUCACUCUUUUCACCAUCCAAUCUUCAAACCAACUAUACCAAAACACUCCCCUUUUACUUGAGAGAUGAUUUCAUAGCUAAAAAAUUCUUCAAAAACAAGUCUAAAUUCGGAUUUUAGUUUAGCAAGAGCAAGGGUUUCAAAUUUUUGAACUCUUCAUUUGAGGCCGAAUUGGAGUGAAAUUUUUGGGGGUUUUCAUCACCAUUGGCAUCCAUAAUCAUCAACCAACAAGUUUGAGGUAACAAAUUUUCACCAAAUGUUGUCAUUUGAAUUUUGCCAAUUUUUAUUUUUUUUCUAUUUUUGGGCAAUUCCGAAUUUUUUUCAUUUUGUGAAGUUUGGUGCUUUACAUUGUGCUUAUUGAGCUUAUUGAUGAUUAUUGGUGAUGUUUAACUCAUGAGUUUGUCAUUAUUUGGUGAAAUUUUGCUAAUUUUAUGCUUAAUUUGGCUUAGUGACAAAGUUGCAUAUUAAGUAGCCAAAUGUAGCAUUUUAAUUAGCUUAGUGGGAGUUUUUUAUAUUUAUGUGAGUAAUUUAGAUUAUCUAAUGAAUGAAAAGGUGCUUGAUUGAAUGAUUUUGUGAAUUCUUAGGUAAUUCUAAAAGAAGAGGUGAAUUGAAGAUGACCUUAAUUGAUGAAAUUCAUAAAUGCACUUACAAUUUUUGUGGUUCAAUAGUUUUUAGUGUUUCAUGAAUUCUCACGAAGGUCAUUUAUAUUUUGGUUUGGUGUGUUUGCCUCCACUUUGAGAUUACUUUUGUACUUGCGGGGAUUUGAUCAUUGAUGACAAAAUAUAUAAAUGGAACUUAUUUUGUUCAUGAUUGUGGAUUUUUUUGUGUGAAAUUAGCUUCCCUUUGCUUUGGAUACUAAUGCAUAUAUUUGAUUAGCAAAGAUUAGCUCAUUUCAUGUUUUUAUCCGUUGAACAUUGUAUGGUUCCACAUGCUUGAUCAUUUUUCCUUUUUCCUUGAAUUGCAUGAUUUUGUUGAUUGCAACCUUUUAUUUUUAAGAAAUUUAUUUGUUUUGAUUUUGUCUUUUUCAGGGUGCAAUAAGUGAACUCUCCAUUCUUUCUCAAAUACGGUUGGAAAUUCAUCACUUGGACAUGGAUUCGGAUUGCGCAAGUUCAAUUGAGCAGUAUUUUCUUUUACUCCUUAUUUAUUUUCCUUUUCUCACAUUGAGGACAAUGUGAAGUUUAAGUGUGGGGGAGGAAAGUAUUGAACUUGCAUUUACUUGCUAGGUGAUGAUAUUUUGUGGAUUUAAAUGUUUAGAAAUGUUGGAAUUGUGUUUGAAAUGCUUGUCAUGUGGAUAAUUUGCUAGAAAAUAGGUUUGUUGGCAGGGAGUUUUCUUCCAUUUAUAAGGAGAAACUCUGUAAAAAUUUUUCUAAAAUCUUUUCCAAUAUUUCACUAUAGCCCAAAAUUUCUUCAAAUUUUUGCAUUUUCAUUCAAAAAGGGCCAAUUUGUUCCAACCUUAAGUGUUUAAUUCUUCCAAUUGUUGAAAUGUUAUAUGUAUUUUGGAAGGUUUAGUCCUCAUUUAACUUGGAAAUGUUUAUUAUGCAAUUAGAAUUUUUACAUUUUAGAAAGUAUAUUUGGUAAAAUGAGGAAAAUUAUGCCUAUAAUUUUACAUGUUUAAUGAGAUUUCUUCUCUUUACUUAAUUUUGCAAGUAAGUGAUUGAUAUAGUCGAUAAAGGUUAUAUUCCUCCUUUGAUUAUUCUUAUAUAUUUUCUAAGAGGGAAUAUCUAUUUAUUGUCCUUUAUUUCUGAAAAAGAAAAAAAAAAGUAGAAAAAAAAAAAGAAAAAAAAAGAGAAAAGAAAAGAAAGUAAAUAAAAAUUGUUGUACUCCAAUGAUUCUCGUACCGAGUAACCGGGGGUUGGCAUCUACAAAUGUCAACAUUCGCGUAAAAAGGUACUUGAAUUAAGAGUAUGCAUUAGCAACUUGAAUAAGUGAAAUGUUGAGUAACCGGGGAUCUUCACCUAAAAGUGUCGAUUUUCGCGUAAAAAGGCAUUCUCACUAUUUAAGUAAAAUUUGUGUGAAUAAAUCCCUCUUAGUUAUAGAAUUUUGAGAAAAAGAUGAUUAUAAGGAGGAGGAAAGCUAUAAAUUGACUAUGUGAUUUGCUUAUUUGUAAAAUUAAGUUAGGGUAAGAGAUUAAGUUUAACUUGUUGAAUUUAGGGUAUAAUUAUCUUUCCUUUACUUGAUAUUAUGAGUAUUUAGUGUAAAUUGAAUAAUUGUAUAAUGAUUAUUUUCCAAGUCUUGAGGAAUUAAAUUGGACAAAGUGCAUAUAUUGUUUCACCUCUUGAAUCAUUGUAGUUGAUUAUGUGUGAAUUGCUUGAGGACAAGCAAUGAUUUAAGUGUGGGGGAGUUUGAUAAGUGACUAAUUUACGUAAUAAUUGUAUGACAUUUUAUAUUAUUUUUAGUCACUUUGGUUAUAUUAUUGGAAGAAUAUGAAUCAUUUUGGCUAUAAUUGGUGAAAAAUGCUUUUAAGUGAUUAAAUGAGGUUUUUAUCACUUUUUACUUGGAUUUUGUGUAUUUUGACAGUUUUGACAUAUUUUCGUAUUUCGGCUAUAACUUGAGCUACAAUGAUCGGAUUGGGAUGAUUCUUGAACCCAUUUGAAGAUAAGAGAUAGAUCUACAACUUUGCUGAAGACAUCCGAAUCCAGUUUGAAGGUUUUCAAAAUCAAAAAGCCGAAUUACAUUAGCUGAUUUCUGUUGGUCGAAGCUGAAACAGGGCAAUGAGCAGGUAAGGGUAUUUCGGUCAUUCUCAGCCUACACAGAUCCAAAUGAGGUGAUUCUUGAUGCAUUGGAAAGCUAACUCAAAGGGCUACAAGUUUUAUGUUUUGGUCAAGAGCUAAAUCAGCUUUUAUCAUCAAGAAAAGUUCAGUUGAAGUUGAGUCAAAAUCGGAGCAGAGCUGGAAAUUGAACCAGAAGUGACCAAAUGGUCACUGUAGCAAUCCGGCCGGAAUUUGGCCGGAUUUGUGGCCGGAUUCCUGGCCGGAUUGUGGUCAGAAAAGGCUGCUUUGUACGCGUAAAACUCAAUUUCACCUCCACCAACUCACAUGUGAUGCUAUACAUGUGAGAAACAUUCCCAGCUGUAAAAGGGAGAUGUAAUCCUCAUUUCUUGACCAUAUUUCAUCAUAAAAUAGCCAAGAUUGCAAGAUUGAAGGGAAUCCAAGAAUAGAGAGCAAGACAUAGAAGAGACAUACGGGAGAAACUUGGUCUGCAACAAUGUAGUUCUUUCGUCUUCUUAGUAGUAGGUUAGUUUAGUUUAGCUAGUAGUUCAUCCUUUCUUGUUAUUAGCUAGAUUAAGAAGAAGAUGGAGGAUGAAGAAGGCAAGGAAGAAAGCUCAUGUGACAAGGGUUGUAUUCCUUCCAAAAUCUUUAUCUUUUGUACUUGAUUCUAAGUUUAGUUAAUAUACAAGUUCU